GUGAGGAAUAUUGCGCAAUGGAGGCAACUCUGACGCAGCCAUGCCGCGUGCAGGAAGAAGGCGCUACGCGUUGUAAACUGCUUUUAACCGGGAAGAAACCCCAGGACGUGUCCUGGGUUGACGGUACCGGAGGAAUAAGCACCGGCUAACUUCGUGCCAGCAGCCGCGGUAAUACGAAGGGUGCAAGCGUUAUCCGGAUUCAUUGGGUUUAAAGGGUGCGUAGGCGGAGCGUUAAGUCAGUGGUGAAAUCCUGCAGCUUAACUGUAGACUUGCCAGUGAUACUGGCGCUCUUGAGUGCGCUUGAAGUGGGCGGAAUGUGCCGUGUAGCGGUGAAAUGCUUAGAUAUGGCACAGAACACCAAUUGCGAAGGCAGCUCACUAAGGCGAUACUGACGCUGAGGCACGAAAGCGUGGGGAUCGAACAGGAUUAGAAACCCUUGUAGUCC
Molecule: ribosomal RNA, 445 nt
Filed under: uncultured bacterium
Lineage: Bacteria
Description: partial 16S ribosomal RNA
Rfam family: Bacterial small subunit ribosomal RNA
Source: RNAcentral